CGGAACGUGCCCAAUCGUGGGGGAUAGCUCGGCGAAAGCCGGAUUAAUACCGCAUACGAUCUACGGAUGAAAGCAGGGGACUCGCAAGGGCCUUGCGCGAAUGGAGCGGCCGAUGGCAGAUUAGGUAGUUGGUGGGGUAAAGGCUCACCAAGCCGACGAUCUGUAGCUGGUCUGAGAGGACGACCAGCCACACUGGGACUGAGACACGGCCCAGACUCCUACGGGAGGCAGCAGUGGGGAAUUUUGGACAAUGGGCGCAAGCCUGAUCCAGCAAUGCCGCGUGCAGGAUGAAGGCCUUCGGGUUGUAAACUGCUUUUGUACGGAGCGAAAAAGCUCUGGUUAAUACCUGGGGCCCAUGACGGUACCGUAAGAAUAAGCACCGGCUAACUACGUGCCAGCAGCCGCGGUAAUACGUAGGGUGCGAGCGUUAAUCGGAAUUACUGGGCGUAAAGCGUGCGCAGGCGGUGAUGUAAGACAGUUGUGAAAUCCCCGGGCUCAACCUGGGAACUGCAUCUGUGACUGCAUCGCUGGAGUGCGGCAGAGGGGGAUGGAAUUCCGCGU
This 561-nucleotide ribosomal RNA is filed under the name uncultured bacterium. Its description in RNAcentral is "bacterial SSU rRNA". It matches the Rfam family "Bacterial small subunit ribosomal RNA", at positions 119 to 674 of the family's 1533-position model. The record is from RNAcentral.